CUCACACAGCUUCUUAAUCUCACCUUCAAUUGUGUGCUCACAUCUGUGCAUCUUUUUUUUGUGUUUUUCCACAGUAUUAGCUGCGUUGGUUAGACAGCAUUCUAGAAUUUGCUUGGUGACUUUCAUGUAUCAUCUUCAACGCCUAGAUUGCCUUUUUCAAUGAAGUUAGUGAAACCGUGCUUGGUGUUUAGAUUUGAGUUUCAGAUAUAUGGAUAGUCUUGUCGUUUUUCCCUGACAUUUGGAUUUCAGCCAUGGUUUUGAUGAUUGUGGUGAGGAACAUUUUAGAGGUUCAUGCUCAUGAAAGGGUCUUGGCUUGUCUUGUGUGAAGAGCUGCUGUCGAUUGAAAUUCAGCUUCAAUUUGGACUUUGUUCUUAUUUGUGUCUGUUUAUUUCUUGCGAAAGGUGUCCAGUUGUAUCGUUCCGGGUAGUCUACUACGCGGAGCACAAUCCUGUGGAUUUCAGUUUUAACGACAGCUAUGGCAGAGGCCCACUCCCAGCAAUCAAUGGCUAGCGAAGUGCAUCCGUUGGCAGCUUCAGGCUUCAAUGCUGACUAGAGAAUUUAUGAAUCGGCUCGACCAAGCUGCCACGUGGAUUGCAAGGUUACGUGGUGCCUAUGAGAAACACAAAGCUGGAAGUCCUUAUUACAGACUAGGGCUGUGGCGGAGACCCUUUGUAGAGCCAGAGAAGGCGAAGGUGGUGUCAACAAUGUUCCAUUUACCAUGUUUAUAUAUAUAUAUAUAUAUAUAGUUCUACAGUUUAGAGUAUUA
Physcomitrium patens is the source of this 766-nucleotide non-coding RNA. The record is from RefSeq and is a predicted model, not a curated record. NCBI's taxonomy places the organism in Eukaryota, Viridiplantae, Streptophyta, Bryopsida, Funariales, Funariaceae.